UGGGGGUACCUGAAGUCGGUGACCGUAACAGGAGCUGCCUAGGGUAAAACAGGUAACUAGGGCUAAGUCGUAACAAGGUAGCCGUACCGGAAGGUGCGGCUGGAACAUCUCAUUUUAGAGCGUCUUAAGACGUUAAACAAACAAGUAUCGUAAGAUACACAGUACUUAUUUAAAGUUUUUAGCUUUAGUUUUUUUAUUUGGUUGCUUAUAUUAUAUAAAUACAAAACCCACUAGAAAUUAGUAUCAGAGGGAGAGAGAGACAAGAGGAUAGAGAAAAGAAGAAAGAUAUAGGCGUAAUAGUCUAGGUUCUAUGUUCUUUUAUCUUUAAGUCUAAUGAAGUCUCGUAGCUCAGCUGGUUAGAGCGCUACACUGAUAAUGUAGAGGUCGGCAGUUCGAGCCUGCCCGAGACUACUAAUUAUAGGGAAUUAUAGAUUAUGAAUGAUAGAUUUUAAAUUAUAAACAGAUUGUUUCAUUUAAAAUUCAUCAUUUAAAAUUUAAAAUUUCUACUAGAGGGGGAAUUAGCUCAGCUGGCUAGAGCGCCUGCCUUGCACGCAGGAGGUCAAGGGUUCGACUCCCUUAUUCUCCACAGUUUUGAGAGUUUGAUUUAAAAGUAAGAUGGAUAGAGCCAAAACGAAUAUCCAUUUAUCAGACACUCGGAAAGACAUAAGAUCAUUGACAUUAACGGUAAAAAUAUCACAAAGAGAAAACCGAGCGCAAUUAAGCGUUUGAGUUUACAAAAUAGUUUACUAGAGAUAGUAAACAAAUAAUACUGAACUAAUUAAUAAUUAGGAAAGAAAUCGUUAAGGGCGUAUGGCGGAUGCCUAGGCUUUCAGAGGCGAAGAAGGACGCGGUAAGCUGCGAAAAGCUCGGGGGAUUGGCACACACGAA
RNAcentral lists this small RNA (888 nucleotides) under Chryseobacterium piscicola. RNAcentral's name for it is "bacterial LSU rRNA". The stretch from base 1 to 115 matches the Rfam family "Bacterial small subunit ribosomal RNA", at positions 1412 to 1533 of the family's 1533-position model. Lineage: Bacteria; Pseudomonadati; Bacteroidota; Flavobacteriia; Flavobacteriales; Weeksellaceae. The record is from RNAcentral.